CACCACCCCAAGUUUCCUUUUUUUUUUUUUUUUUGUUUUUUUUUCUUAUAACAUCACUUUCGUCCCCUCGGUCAACUUCUGUUCCUCCGAUAUUCUUGAUUUCCGUUCUCGCUUAUCGGCAAGUGCGCCGCCAUCGAACUUUUGGCCACCCCCAAAAUCCAUGGCAACCCAAGAACACCACCAUCACCGCACCCACGAGCAAACUCCACUCUAUUUUCGUUCUUUCCGGCGUCUUUGGGCUUUCGUUUUUCCUUCCUUGUUGCGAUGAGAUGCUAGGUUUUGGAUAUAUUUGGCUCGCGAAGGAGGGCAUCGGCGGCCCCGUCGGGACCGGGUGUUUCUAUUGCUGAAAAAGGGGAAUGUGUAGAGCUGCUUAGUCGAAGGUAGUUUGCAUAGGAAACAGCCACAACAGCUGCAGCCAUAGAAAUUUUCAUAAACUUUUCAUUCUUGAUGGAGCAAAGCAACCACUUGUCAUUGGAUUGCUUUUGGCGGGCAUCUCUGAACAUUGUUAGCAACCAUAUGAUAGUCUUCAGGGAGGAGGAGGCCUAAGAAGUAAAAACAAGGACUGUACUAUUCCUUUUAGUGUUCCUUCUGGAACGUGUUGGAGGUCAUAUAGGAGAAUGCAACUGAGGUUCAGAGGAUUUGUUUUGCAUGAUAAACUAUGCUGAACGAAGCUCUUUUUUUCCUUUUCCCCUUUGAUUUUUUAAUUGGAGCAGAACAAGUGGACUUGGUCAGAUAAUUUAAUAUGAAGCUUACUAUUUUUGCUAAGGUGUCAAUCAAAUUAUCUAAUCAGCUGAAUUCAGAUAUUGAGAAAAACCUUACUUGAGGAGUUGGCACAAGGCUCAGAUAUUGGAGGACGUGGUUUAAUACAAGCUGUUGGAGAUCAUCUGAGUCUAGUCAUGUCCUUUCUGUGAUUGUUUCAAGUUGUUUCCAUAUUGGUUUCAUCUGCAUUCUGGAGAUUGUAGACUAAGUACUCAUCAAGAAAAAAACAUGUUGAAGAUUGUGGUGCUGAAACUGAGAGGAGUGCAGGAUGUUAGAUCUUGUGCUAGACUCCAUAUUAGGGUUCCUCUAUCAGCAAGACCUCAAUUAGCAUAUAAGGUGUGGGAACAGGUCUCUGCUUUUUGGGUUGUUCUCCUGGUCCCUCAAACAUUUCCAUUAGUCUUGAUCCAAGGAUGGUGUUUACUGGUGUCAACAAAUUGCGGGCUUGGCAAAAGGCAACGACACUGAAGUUGCGCAGGCGGGAACAAAAGGCUGCUCGCAGGGAGAAACUGGAAAACAGCUAGAGAAAUUAUUAACAUGCUGCGAAACAAACCUCUUUAGCUCACAACCGCCCACCCGUCGUAGAUACUGAGGGUGUUGCACUAAGAUUACUCUUACAUGUUUCAUUUUCUCCAAGGUUUCCAUGUACAGGGGGCGUUCUAUGUUUUUGAGUUACUUCGAAGUGAUAUCAUCUAUUGAUGGUGCGGUGCAGAGGAGUGUCAAAAAGUGCGGGGACAUGACUUGAUGAAGCUGAUAUUCUGAGCUGAAAAGAUUCCCCAGAAUCACUUAUUUUUGUUAGCUGAAUGAUGCCGACUUUGAAAUCCUCGAGGUCUUAGGAAGAAUGGACAAUCUUGGCAAUCUUGGACUAAUUGAAUACGCAACCAAGAGCUUACACUUGUGCUUGCGUAGGAGGAUA
Molecule: non-coding RNA, 1672 nt
Organism: Elaeis guineensis (African oil palm)
Lineage: Eukaryota; Viridiplantae; Streptophyta; Magnoliopsida; Arecales; Arecaceae
Source: RefSeq, a predicted model, not a curated record